AUUGAACGCUGGCGGCAUGCCUUACACAUGCAAGUCGAACGGCAGCACGGGAGCAAUCCUGGUGGCGAGUGGCGAACGGGUGAGUAAUAUAUCGGAACGUGCCCAGUCGUGGGGGAUAACGUAGCGAAAGCUACGCUAAUACCGCAUACGAUCUAUGGAUGAAAGCGGGGGAUCGCAAGACCUCGCGCGAUUGGAGCGGCCGAUAUCAGAUUAGGUAGUUGGUGAGGUAAAGGCUCACCAAGCCGACGAUCUGUAGCUGGUCUGAGAGGACGACCAGCCACACUGGGACUGAGACACGGCCCAGACUCCUACGGGAGGCAGCAGUGGGAAUUUGGACAAUGGGCGCAAGCCUGAUCCAGCAAUGCCGCGUGCAGGAUGAAGGCCUUCGGGUUGUAAACUGCUUUUGUACGGAACGAAACGGUGAGCUCUAAUACAGUUUGCUAAUGACGGUACCGUAAGAAUAAGCACCGGCUAACUACGUG
RNAcentral lists this ribosomal RNA (482 nucleotides) under uncultured bacterium. Its description in RNAcentral is "bacterial SSU rRNA". It matches the Rfam family "Bacterial small subunit ribosomal RNA", at positions 30 to 507 of the family's 1533-position model. The record is from RNAcentral.